RNAcentral lists this transfer RNA (69 nucleotides) under Actinopolymorpha cephalotaxi. Its description in RNAcentral is "tRNA-Ser". Lineage: Bacteria; Bacillati; Actinomycetota; Actinomycetes; Propionibacteriales; Actinopolymorphaceae. The record is from RNAcentral.
AUGGCCCGGUAGGCGUUGGAAGGGGUUCUCAUAAUCCCUGGGUCGCGGGUUCGAGUCCCGCCCGCCCUA